RNAcentral lists this ribosomal RNA (468 nucleotides) under uncultured bacterium. Its description in RNAcentral is "partial 16S ribosomal RNA". It matches the Rfam family "Bacterial small subunit ribosomal RNA", at positions 28 to 507 of the family's 1533-position model. The record is from RNAcentral.
GACGAACGCUGGCGGCGUGCUUAACACAUGCAAGUCGAACGGAAAGGCCCUGCUUUUGUGGGGUGCUCGAGUGGCGAACGGGUGAGUAACACGUGAGUAACCUGCCCUUGACUUUGGGAUAACUUCAGGAAACUGGGGCUAAUACCGGAUAGGCGCUCCUGCUGCCUGGUGGGGGUUGGAAAGUUUCGGCGGUUGGGGAUGGACUCGCGGCUUAUCAGCUUGUUGGUGGGGUAGUGGCUUACCAAGGCUUUGACGGGUAGCCGGCCUGAGAGGGUGACCGGCCACAUUGGGACUGAGAUACGGCCCAGACUCCUACGGGAGGCAGCAGUGGGGAAUAUUGCACGAUGGGCGGAAGCCUGAUGCAGCAACGCCGCGUGCGGGAUGACGGCCUUCGGGUUGUAAUCCGCUUUCGCCUGUGACGAAGCGUGAGUGACGGUAAUGGGUAAAGAAGCACCGGCUAACUACGUG